Molecule: long non-coding RNA, 5251 nt
Organism: Triticum aestivum (bread wheat)
Lineage: Eukaryota; Viridiplantae; Streptophyta; Magnoliopsida; Poales; Poaceae
Exons: 5
Source: RefSeq, a predicted model, not a curated record
UCCUCAAUUCACAAGAGUUGUGAAUGGUUUUUCGAAAUUGUGGCAGAAAAGUUCUUGCCACAUUUCGAGGGGGAGAAAGAAAUAUGAGAUAUCCAUUAAUGAAGAAUGUGAUCAUCUGGGGGAGUACGACGAUCAUAAUAAUACCCCUAAAGAAAAGAAAUAGCUGUAUUCCUGGAUCUUUUACAGUUCCAAAAGCAGACUAAGGAAUACUAAGACGGUGCUUAAAGUGCCAUAAAGAAGAAAGUUUUAACAGAAUAAACCCAAAUAAUAAAGUUUAAAGAUACGCCAUUUUUAGUGAAGAUGGAGUAAUCUGGGGGAGCAUGUUGUAUGACCUAUACAACACCUGAUGUUAGAUCUAUAAAGGAUGAAUGAGUACACAUGGAUCUUGUGACACAGGUCCCUGUAAAACCUAUUGCCUCUUGGAAAUAAAAGACUAUAGAAUUAAUUUGCCUCUUGGCAAUCACAGAGCAACAACAACCCCAUAUGAAAGAAGUGCCAGUACCUGAGACACAGAUGGUCUCAAGGAAUGAGAAAAUCAGAUACUUCUGAUUACUAUAAAGUCUAUGUUAGUGAAAAUCAAAUCGAGGUUGAUCCCACCUCAUUUAAAGCGCUCAAUCGAGCUUAGAGAAGUGUCUAUUUGUCCAAAUGAUAAGAGACUAUGUGAGAUGAAAUAAAAUUGGUGAAUCCUGACAAUGUUUGGGACUCAUAAGUAGUUUCCAAUAGAGCAUAAACAGUAGGCUGUAAAAGGUCUACAAGGUCAAUGUGACUCCAAAGAAAAUAUGUAAAGGUGUAAAGCGCGACUUGAAUCGAAAGAUUUUGUGCAAAGAGAAUGAACAAAUUACAAUGAGUGUUAGUGGCACAUCAUGACCGACAUCAUGAUCUGAGUUACAUCAGAUGAAUGUAUAGAACACAAGGGAUACUGCUUCAAGAAGUUUUUUAUGGACUAGAGCAAGUCUCUAGACAGUUGCAUUUAAAGUUUAAACAAUCAGAUGAUAUUUUGGGUUAAAGAAAAUGGAAGGACAAUUGUAUUCAUGCAAAGUUAUAGAAUGGAAAAUUCAUUUCCCAAUCCUGUGCAUGUAGAUGACGUCCUACUUGCUAGUGGUGAUGUCAAUCUACUUCAGGAGGAGAAAAGAAGUUCUUGUCCUCAAAGUUCAAAAUUGCAUUUCUCAGAGUGUCUCUCGUUAUAAAUAUCGAGAUUCACCAAGAAAAGAAUAAAAUGGGGUAUUAGGAAUGUCGCAUGGACAUGCUAACAAAGGUCUCUAAAGUAGGCAUGCGAGAAAACCUACGCCUGUUCUUAUAGUCAAGGGUAAUUGAACUGGAAACUAUGGUGUUCCAAAAGUUGAUGAGAAAAGAUUGAAAACGGAUAUGGUACCAUAUGCUUCAGCUGUUGGAAGCUCAAUAUAUUACCCUGACACAGUUCACGUAUCCGGGUUGUUUUGGCAAUGUCCAGUCCAUAUAUAGAUCACUGGAAUGGAGUCAAAGAUAUCGGCAUCAUGCUGAAAGAAAUAAGUGCUCUCAAAAGAUUGUGAGUACAAAGACAGGACUUGUGAAAUGUAUAGCGAAAUCCACAAUUGUCGCUAACUUUCAUACUUGGAGGUUUUUGUGUGGAAAAGCUCCAAAGAAUGAAAUUAUCAUCAGUGUGAUGCAAAGAUAUUUUAUAGCUUAAUAUGAGGCUGAGGGACAGGCAAAAUGGUUAAGGAGACCUGUACCCGGAGUUAAUAAUGGUUGACAACAGCGAUAACCAUUUUAAGUUUUUCGCUCCUAUGACAACGAGUCAAGUGUUGAUGCCAAACACACUGACACAGAGUUAUGCGUUGUAAAGGAGAAAGUCUGGAAUUAUGUAGAAAUGCUUGAAGCAUAAAAGCAACAGACAAGUGUUUGCAGAUCUGCUUAUUAAAGGCUUACCGCCCAGUGUGUUCGAAGAACACACAGUCGACAUGGGUUUUAUGGUAUAGUCUAAGAUUUCCGGACAAUAAAAGGGCCCAAGGUUAAAGAAUUUGUUUCAAAACAGAGUGGUACGUUGUGGCUGUCUGAUUCUAUCGGCAAUUGAGCUGUGACGAUGAAACAUAUUCUAUGUAUUGAUCUGUUAUGAAACGAGUAAAGUAAAAGUAUAAGGUCAAAAAGUUGAGAUCAAGGAGGAGAAUGUUAGGAUGAUCUCCACCGUGUGGGCCCAACGGCCCACCGGGCCCUUAGAUCUGCGCCCUGAUCGGGGGCGCUCAACCCACUAUGGUUGACGGGCCCCUGUCACCUGCACUAUAUAAAGAGGUGGGGGCUGGCGGCUCGCAUCACGAGGUUCGUCGCGAUGCCGUACACCCCACCUACAUCCCUACCGAUCUAGGGUUAGUGCAGUGCUGAUGGGAAGCGCCGCCACCACUUCGCCCAUGAUCUGCCAUCACCACCGCCGCCAUCCACCAUGGCCACCCCAUCGAGUUCAUCCGGCCAGGUAGAAGGUAAGAACUACCGGAAUAUCUAGCCUAUCCGAUCCCGACGGAUCUAACAGGGUAUGCUAGAGUCCGGUUCGUCUGUCGCCUCCGAGAGUCUUGGUCCAUCCUGUAGGUGGUAUAAGGAUGGAGAGGGGUCUGCUCUAGGGAUGGGAAGGUGUGUUGUGGCGCUACAGCUUGUGCUCUGCAUCUUAGGGGAUGCAUAGAGGUUGACGCUGGGUGCAGGGAGCGUGUUGUGCUAUGCCCUGUGGUUCAGACAAGUUAUCUCUCUCUCUCUCUCUCUCUCUCUGUGUGUGUGUGUGUGUUAAAUUCCUCCCUUGCUAAUAUCUCUUCCUGUACACAGAUGGAAACCAAAAUAUCAAGGCUGUAAUAUGUACAAGCAUGAGAACUCUCUCUGUCAUAGUAUUAGUGUGGAUUUAUACCUUUUACAAUGAGACAUUAAUGCAUUCUGCAAUGUUCCCUUCUGUAAAUAAAUGAACUAUGCAUUCUGUAACAUUCCCUUCUAUUAAAUAAAUGAACUAUACAUUCUGUUAAAUCAUGAAUUGUAACCAUGACCACCUCUCAUGAGAAUCUCAAAGGAUUUUUCUCGAAUACUUAUCAGAAGGAUGAUCACCGUUGCCUUAUGUUUGCUUCAUUUUGGCUCCCUAUGACUACUAACCGUGGUCACGUUAUUCCUACAUAAUAUGAUAUUGGCGAUGGCAACUGUUGUCUUGCUUAUGAAGCUUAAGUUUUAUCAGGUUUGGGUAAGGAUCUGGAGGUGGAGAGCAGUAUCGACGACAAUGAUAUAGUUUCAACAAGCUAUCGGGCGUUGGCACAAGAUGGACGUGCCUCACGCAAUUCAGACGGCUCUUACAAUCCCAAGUUUUUUCUUGAUAUCCUCUUACGACCCCAAGUUAGAUGCGAACUGUCGUUGAGGGGGGGAAACAAGGAUGGUGUCAUUCACGUACGAACAGAUGCUAGGGAAGUGGCCGGUCGGGGACAUCACCUUCGGGGUCAGCCACUACAUGCGCCUCUGGAUGAUCACUAGACCCAAAAUAUUUUGAUCUACUGGAAUGGUCGCAUUGCCAUUUGUGCUUGCCCAUCAUAAAGUUUCUCCACUCGUGCAAGAGAAUAACUUGGAUCACUAAGGAUAAGAUGCUCUGUGGUAAACUUCUCCUAUGUUCUGCACCAAGGAGAUGAUUUUUCUUGCGACAUCAACUGCGUUUGUACCGACAACUGAAAGCUCGUUGCUUGGCCGAUCUUACAAUUGAGGUACAAUCUUAUCUCCACAUUUUUAUUAUUAAUUGAAAGCUACAUGACAUCCAUGAACAUAUGCACUUACAGUAGAUUUGUGGUUGCCAUUAAAGCUAAACUUUACAUUUAACUUGCAUAUGCCAUCUUAUUUAUGAUCCGAGUAUCCGUUCUCACUGCUCCGUGACAAUUUCAACUUCGUAUUCUUUACACUGUAGGUGGAUAUUUGAUCUUAUUUGGUUGUCUAUGCUAGAAGAAAAAUAGAAACAACAAAAAUGAUAUUAUUUUACCGUUUCAGUCUUUUAUGUACGUUAAUAAUUUCUUUUAACGUAUUCUGUUUUAUUAGUGGUCACAUCCAAAGUUACAUGGUCCCUCUCUACUUUGAGGGUGCCAUUUCAGCUUUUACGUACAAACAAAAAUCUAAAAAUAUUGAGAGACGAAGAAAGAAAUCAUGUCCCAGUCGGGAAGGCAUAAUACUAUCAUCGUGUCGUGCACAAGCAGGGGUGGAGAGCAGAGGCUUGUUGUCUAAAACAGUGCAAGCAGUGUAUGACCAUUGAAAAAUAUGUCAGUGAUACGUAUACAAGUUUCAACAAAAACAAGCUAAUUCACCCAUUAGGAGUCACCUCAGCUUGAGAAUCUUUUGGAUACCAAGGAGAAAGUCAAAGCCGGGAGAAAAUUCGAAUCUCUACUCCUAAUGGAGCAAUUCAUACUUCGUUUCGUUCGUUCGUUACUUCUCUCCCAUCGAUCGAAAAAACAACUGAGAGCUUGUUGCUUGGCCGAUCUUACAAUUGGAGGUACAAUCUUAUCUCCAUAUUUUUGUUAUUAGUUGAAAGCUACAUAACAUCAAUGAACAGAUGCACUCACAGUAGAUUUGUGGUUGCCAUUAAAGCUAAACUUUACAUAUAACUGGCAUAUGUCAUCUUACUUAUGAUCUGAGUAUCGGUUCUCACUGCUCCGUGACAACUUCAACUUCGUAUUCUUUACACUGUAGGUGGAUAUUUGAUCUUAUUUGGUUGUCUAUGCUAGAAGAAAAGUAGAAACAACAAAAAUGAUAUUAUUUUACCGUUUCAGUCUUUUAUGUAUGUUAAUAUAUUCUUUUAACAUAUUCUGUUUUAUUAGUGGUCACAUCCAAAGUUACAUGGUCCUUCUCUACUUUGAGGGUGCCAUUUCAGCUUUUACGUACAAACAAAAAUCUAAAAACAUUGAGAGACGAAGAAAGAAAUCAUGUCCCAGUUGGGAAGGCAUAAUACUAUCAUCUUAUCAUGCACAAGCAGGGGUGGAGAGCAGAGGCUUGUUGUCUAAAACAGUGCAAGCAGUGUAUGACCAUUGAAAAAUAUGUCAGUGAUACACAUACAAGAUUCAACAAAAACAAGCUAAUUCACCCAUUAGGAGUCACCUCAGCUUGAGAAUCUUUCGGAUACCAAGGAGAAAGUCAAAGCCAGGAGAAAAGGAGCCCUCCACCGAAUAAGAUCAUACCUCAGCUUGCAUCUGAACAAACUUAUUUGCCACCUCAGCUUGAGAAUCUUUUGGAUACCAAGGAGAAAGUCGAAGCUGGGAGAAAAGGAGCCCUCCAUUUAAUA